UCCCUGGUGGUCCAGUGGUUAAGACACUGUGUUUCCAAUGCAGGGGGCAGGGGUUCAGUCCCUGGUCAGGGAA
Molecule: transfer RNA, 73 nt
Filed under: Bos taurus (domestic cattle)
Lineage: Eukaryota; Metazoa; Chordata; Mammalia; Artiodactyla; Bovidae
Also listed under: 4 other names
Rfam family: tRNA
About the family: Transfer RNA (tRNA) molecules are approximately 80 nucleotides in length. Their secondary structure includes four short double-helical elements and three loops (D, anti-codon, and T loops).
Source: Rfam by way of RNAcentral